CACAUUAUUGUGCAGGAAUUUUGGCCGACUCUUCUUUACAGUAUGUAGUGGAAAUUAUACAUUUAGACGUAGUGGAAGAUCAUAUGUUUACUACGAGAAUAUUUGCUAUGACCUGUGUGAAAGGCGAGGGCCGCUUAGCAGCCGAUCAGGAGGAAGGUCACACCACUAAUUUUAGGGCUGUUUCUGACUGGUUCUGUCUGGCUGCUCACAGAAUGAUAAUCAUGGAGCAGAAGUAUAAAGGAGCUGCGAAAGAAAAUAAUUUUGGGCUCUUGUAUGCGGGCUUGGUGUCCCGGCUUACUUGAUGCAUCAAAUAACCUAUUAAAAACUUUGCUGCCUUCAUACCCUGUCUUUGGCUGUCUUUCCACCUGGUGGAACCGGCAGGAUCGCACGAGCAUUGGGACCAGCAGGUAAAUAGAAAACUGGUUCCAAAGCCGCUGCGAUCCAGGGAACCGCAAAGGUGAGACAUUUUAUAUAUAUUUUAUACGUCUGUAUAUUGGUCUCCGAAUUUAAUCAGCCGAGGCGACAAGAACUUGCAAGAAGGUCUGGGAUGGGUCUGGGACCCUUAGGUUUGAGGAAACCUGCCCAGCACUGACGAUCGAGUGUCUGGUAAAAAAUAAAUAAAUACGGUCAGGGACUAGAGAAAGUCGCUCGGGGGUCGGUUCGGGGAAAUCAUUGCUAAGUUUUAAUUUCUAAAAUGGGAUCUGGAGGCAGCAAAGACACGAAGGUGGAUGUUAAGAUAUCUGCUAAUGUAAAUUUGGAUGAUAAUCAAUUACGGAGUUGAGUCAUGUGAACAGUCAUUUAGAUAAAAGAAUGUGGUUUUCAGAACGGAUGUAGUUUUAAUUUGAGACAGAUAAAACAUUCGAAAUAGAGAUUUCAGCAAGUAGAAAGAGAUUAUGAGAAAAGAAGAAAAAGAAUAGGGUGAAUGUGAACUGGACCGCCCUUGGAAACUGGGAGACAGAAGCACAGGGGCGAGAUAGAAAAGGCAGACAGUCGGGGUAGGGGAGGAACUCACAGACUUUUCAGUGUGUUAAACAGGUUGACCCGGACCGGGACUCCUGUCCACCCCGACCAGCCGCCACCAUCACAUGCCGCUGAACGACAUUACCAUCACAUCAGACUGACCAUGCAGUCCCGUACCACAGCCGACAUGACCUCCCCCAUCUCCAGUCACACUCCUUCCUGAAAUUGCCCGACCGCAAAGAACGGGAAGAAACGCGAAUGCCUGUUGGAAAGGAGGGACGUCGGGCAAAAGACUCUCCGAGCCAAGGAGAUAUGAUGGAUGGGAAGGGCUGUAAUGAAGGAGAUCCUCACUAAGCAGGAAAUGCUCCUUGAGCAGCAGUCCCUAAUUCUCAAACUGUUACAAGCUCAGCAACAGACCCUCACUGACAACAUUGAAGAGGGACUUCUACCACUGAAAGACCUGGAAGCUCUGCAUGCUUUGGAAGGCCAACUACACAGUCCAGACAUGAGAGAAAAAUUGAUUAAUCAUUUAGGUCUGACUGGAGGAAACAACGCUAAGGAGACUAUGUGGAGAAUAAUGAAGAGAAUUCUGGGUAACAGCUUGGCGAAAACUAUCAAUUGGAGAGGACUCAAUGGGAAAACCUCCUUUGCUUCCCUUCAUCUUAAAGAUGUGAUCACUGCUGCUGUUAGAAAAAAUCCCCUCACCAAACACACAACAAACAAUGAAGCUGAGAAUGUAAUGAAGCGGUGGCUUCAACUUUGCUGUUGGGAACUUUGCUCAGGAAGGAGGGAGGAAGCGCAG
This is a long non-coding RNA of Paramormyrops kingsleyae, 1762 nucleotides long. RefSeq lists it as uncharacterized. Lineage: Eukaryota; Metazoa; Chordata; Actinopteri; Osteoglossiformes; Mormyridae. The record is from RefSeq and is a predicted model, not a curated record.